UUAUUUUUGAUCAGACAAAAUCCGUUUUCACGCCGGGCUCAUGAACCUUAGAUUGGCCAUUUCCCGCAGUUCUCUGAAACUUCUGCCUGGUGUCUGGCCAGCUGCUUAUUUGCGGGGGCCCGCGGCACCCAGUAGGUGCUCACUUCGUGGCUCAUGAGCUGAGACGUCCCGUCCCACGAGCGGCCCUCCUCGGCGGCAGCACUUUCCCGAGCGAAUCGUCUCAUCCCUCUGCGCUUCAGUCUUCCCGAGCUACAGAGUGGGGCAAGGGACAGGUGGCUGCGAGGGUUAAACGGGCGGAUCGUUAAAACCUUCCAGACGCAGAAGCCUUUUCCACGAUGCAGCGCCAGGACCCCAGCGCCAAGCAGGGCACGAGGAGGGGACCCAGAUGAGGAGAUCUAAUGUGAGCCCAGUAUUCUGCAGUCCCCAGCACACAGUAGGUGUGAAGGGAUUCCCAGGCCAAGCCCUUUCCUGCCCAGUGAGGAGUCCCAGCCCUGCUCUGGGGGCCCAGGCCAGAAUGGAAGGUCUGAAAUGCCACUCGCGCCACCUGUGAAGUCUUGCAUGUACCGAGGCCUGUUUCUAGGCCAGUGCUGUUCAGUGGAACUUCCUGCAGUGACGGGGAUGGGAAUGUUCUAGAUCUGUUAUCCCACACAGUAACCACAAGCCACAGAACCCAUGAAACGUGGCUAUGAAGAUCAGGAAAGCGAGUUGUAAAUUUUAGUUAAUCCUCAUUAACUUAAAUGUAAAUACCUACAUGUUCUAGCAUGUUCCAGCACGGUCCAGACUCUCCAUAUGUUACCAGAAAUGCUUUAGGUCCAGUAAGCCUGGCUGUCACGUGGGGGUCAGGAACCAUGGUUCCCGGUAUUGAUGCUUUACUAAGCCCCAUCCAGUGAGCUGGAUUCUUCCUUCUUUCUUCUCAAAACUUUCUCUGCUGUGCACAGACACUCUGUCCUCACAUAAUACUAACAACUUCUUUGCUUUUUGGUACUCUCCUGCCAUCACGGACACACACUGCAACUUCCAAAGGCUAUGUGACUUCCCACAUCACCCCAACCCAGUGCAAACACAGGUAUGGAAUCCAGCAGCUUCUAUUAUGCCAAACAUUAGAAAGGUUUGCAAACAUGUAAAAUGGGACAGAAUUUUCUAAAAU
Mustela erminea (ermine) is the source of this 1147-nucleotide long non-coding RNA. RefSeq lists it as uncharacterized. NCBI's taxonomy places the organism in Eukaryota, Metazoa, Chordata, Mammalia, Carnivora, Mustelidae. The transcript has 3 exons. The record is from RefSeq and is a predicted model, not a curated record.